CUUUAAGUGAAAGGAAUAUGUUGGGUCAACAAUAUUGGGAAUAUUCGCCUUAAAUAAGAAAGUAAAAGGAACACCAUACGUUUUUGUUGCCUGACUGAAGAAAUGACUGAAUAGAAGAAGUCAGCCGCCAGCUGCUGUCGAAGUUCUCGCUGAUCCUGUCUGAGGUCCUGCAGAAGAGAGAUGAAAUGUCAGAUGGGUCCAAUGAUGGCCACAGACAGCUCAAGACUGACAAGAAAGGGGGAAGAGAGAGGGGGGAUGACACGCAGCUCAUGGCCACUGCAGCUGCAGCAAGGACUUCAGCCCCGACACACAGGGUGCCAGCUCCACCGGGUGAGCCACCCGGGCGACCUGGUUUCAAGGUUUAAGGUCUGGGUACAGUUUUGUCCUGAUGUUAUUUAGAUGAAGACAAAUCAUAACUACCUGGAGACCAGACCCUCCAAACGUUACAUUGAUUGUAGGAGGCUCCAGAUAGUGUGUCUGAGCAGGAAAAUCUGGCACUAUUUAUAAUGACAGUAUAUGAUGUAGAGGUUUUCCAACAUGGGUUAUUCUGAAUUUCAAAUCUUUGAGAUGAAUUUUCUGGUUGGAACCUACUUUACGUAUUACAUUUUAUACAUUCAGAAGCUUGUAUCUCAUUUCUAUUUACAUUGUAAAUAUAUCCUGUUUUAUACCCGAACAUUCAUUUUUUAUCUAAUGAAUCUAAUCUCGUUAAGGAAGGUAAUCAUAUUAAAUGAACAGAAGAAGAAAUUUAGAUGUGUCACUCACCAUCUUCCUUAUGCAAAUUGU
Molecule: long non-coding RNA, 783 nt
Organism: Dicentrarchus labrax (European seabass)
Lineage: Eukaryota; Metazoa; Chordata; Actinopteri; Moronidae
Exons: 3
Source: RefSeq, a predicted model, not a curated record